CCAGAAAAUCUAUUUCAGAAGCUCAGCAAUUCUGUUUUAAUUCUGAACACGGAGACCAACCAGAGAUACUCUAUCUGAAACCUGAUUUCAACCUGUUCUGGUUUUCUGCACAUGCUGGUUGAAGUCAUCUUCUCCUUGUGGAGCCUCACGGAACAUUGCAGAGAAAUGUUGAGAAGACUUGGUCUGCAAGGUAUGUACAU
This 200-nucleotide long non-coding RNA is filed under the name Pogona vitticeps (central bearded dragon). RNAcentral's name for it is "lncRNA (ENSPVIG00000025569.1)". The record is from RNAcentral. Lineage: Eukaryota; Metazoa; Chordata; Lepidosauria; Squamata; Agamidae.